UACGUAGGGGGCAAGCGUUGUCCGGAUUCAUUGGGCGUAAAGAGCGUGUAGGCGGCCAGGUAGGUCGGUUGUGAAAACUGGAGGCUCAACCUUCAGAGGUCGACCGAAACCAUCUGGCUAGAGUCCGGGAGAGGAGAGUGGAAUUCCUGGUGUAGCGGUGAAAUGCGCAGAUAUCAGGAAGAACACCCGUGGCGAAAGCGGUGAUCUGGGCCGACACUGACGCUGUAGAGCGAAAGCGUGGGGAGCGAACAGG
RNAcentral lists this ribosomal RNA (253 nucleotides) under uncultured bacterium. RNAcentral's name for it is "partial 16S ribosomal RNA". It matches the Rfam family "Bacterial small subunit ribosomal RNA", at positions 524 to 776 of the family's 1533-position model. The record is from RNAcentral.